GUGCCAGCCGCCGCGGUAAUACGGAGGGCGCAAGCGUUAAUCGGAAUUACUGGGCGUAAAGCGCACGUAGGCGGUUUGUUAAGUCAGAUGUGAAAUCCCCGGGCUCAACCUGGGAACUGCAUCUGAUACUGGCAAGCUUGAGUCUCGUAGAGGGGGGUAGAAUUCCAGGUGUAGCGGUGAAAUGCGUAGAGAUCUGGAGGAAUACCGGUGGCGAAGGCGGCCCCCUGGACGAAGACUGACGCUCAGGUGCGAAAGCGUGGGGAGCAAACAGGAUUAGAAACCCUAGUAGUCC
RNAcentral lists this ribosomal RNA (292 nucleotides) under uncultured bacterium. RNAcentral's name for it is "partial 16S ribosomal RNA". It matches the Rfam family "Bacterial small subunit ribosomal RNA", at positions 505 to 796 of the family's 1533-position model. The record is from RNAcentral.